CGUGUAGGCGGCCAAACGGGUCAGGUGUGAAAGCCCUCGGCUUAACCGAGGAAGUGCGCCUGAAACUAUUUGGCUCGAGUGCAGGAGAGGAGGACGGAAUUCCCAGUGUAGAGGUGAAAUUCGUAGAUAUUGGGAGGAACACCGGUGGCGAAAGCGGUUCUCUGGACUGCAACUGACGCUGAGACGCGAAAGCGUGGGGAUCAAACAGGAUUAGAUACCCUGGUAGUCCACGCCGUAAACGAUGGGUACUAGGUGUUGUGAGCUUAACACUCGCAGUGCCGACGCUAACGCAUUAAGUACCCCGCCUGGGGAGUACGGUCGCAAGAUUAAA
RNAcentral lists this ribosomal RNA (331 nucleotides) under uncultured Myxococcus sp. RNAcentral describes it as "bacterial SSU rRNA". It matches the Rfam family "Bacterial small subunit ribosomal RNA", at positions 568 to 898 of the family's 1533-position model. Lineage: Bacteria; Pseudomonadati; Myxococcota; Myxococcia; Myxococcales; Myxococcaceae. The record is from RNAcentral.